This is a long non-coding RNA of Calidris pugnax (ruff), 1066 nucleotides long. RefSeq lists it as uncharacterized. The transcript has 3 exons. NCBI's taxonomy places the organism in Eukaryota, Metazoa, Chordata, Aves, Charadriiformes, Scolopacidae. The record is from RefSeq and is a predicted model, not a curated record.
CUACGGCUGCAUGUUUUAUUACACCGUCAUCCUAUGACAUAGUCAUAAGCCUUUUAUUUUUUUUCUUUGAGGCCAAAACUUAGAAAAUAAUUGGCAAACAAGUAAAACAUACAGAACAAAGGACAUUAAUUCUUAAAAAAAAUCAAUUAAAAUUUGGGGUUUCAACCAAAAAUGGCUGGUUAAUUCCACCCGGUCCCGCGGCACGGUGUAGCAGCGCUUCCUGCCACUUGUAAGGUUGUCUCUUUUCUGAAGCUUAUAUAGAGCAAACAAAUUUUAGGGGGGAUGGAUGAGCAGGGAGAUUUAUUACUCUGUCUUAAAAAGCUAACUUAUAUUUUCUGUUAAAGCUCUUAAACCAUGAUGAGAGGGUUAGCCCUGCAGUUGGUGCAUUUAAUUACAUGAGCUGAAAAUAAUCGUGCCUCGUAAGUCAUUGCGUCCAAAUGCUGGAUUGUUGUUGGUUUUCUUUUACUUAAUAUUUGCAUAAUCAAUUUUUGUCAUCACCAGUUGGGUUUGGUUUUUUAUUGAAAAAACCCUAAACCCAACCAACCAGCCAGAUUGUUUUAGCCAACCCAAAGGGGGGGGUGAGACCCGGACCCCGAGUGCCUCUGCCCCUCCACGUGUGCUGACAGACGGGCUCCGCACCCCGAUCUCCACGGGAAGGACAAGGUCACCCUGGAACAGCAGCACCAGGCAGCCCCCCAGAUUGCACCCUCCCCGCGAGUCAGGCUGCCAGAGAUCCCUCCUGAUCUUUGGCACUCGACAUAAUUCGCCACCUGUCUCAAAGUGCAAACGUGUCCGUGGUCAGGAAGGGAUACAGACAGGUACAGGGAAUUAUGCCUCCAGCUUCACCUGGACACACACCAGUGACACUUGCCACCGGCUACUGGGCAACAGACCUUCCCCCACCGAAGGCGGUGGCUCCUCAAGGUAAGGCUUUGAAUCAAGGUAGCUCCUGGAGGUCAGGUUGGCCAGGAGGUGGUAGCACAUGGGCAGAUCUCUAAGGGGUGGAUCUGAACAGAAAAAUUAAACCUUUCUGCCCUUAUUUCUGUAAUUAUUUUGAGCCGCAGUA